UGGGGAAUAUUGGACAAUGGGCGAAAGCCUGAUCCAGCCAUGCCGCGUGUGUGAAGAAGGUCUUCGGAUUGUAAAGCACUUUAAGUUGGGAGGAAGGGCAGUAAGCGAAUACCUUGCUGUUUUGACGUUACCGACAGAAUAAGCACCGGCUAACUCUGUGCCAGCAGCCGCGGUAAUACAGAGGGUGCAAGCGUUAAUCGGAAUUACUGGGCGUAAAGCGCGCGUAGGUGGUUCGUUAAGUUGAAUGUGAAAGCCCCGGGCUCAACCGGGGAACUGCAUCCAAAACUGGCGAGCUAGAGUAGGGCAGAGGGUGGUGGAAUUUCCUGUGUAGCGGUGAAAUGCGUAGAUAUAGGAAGGAACACCAGUGGCGAAGGCGAACACCUGGGCUCAUAAUGACACUGAAGUGCGAAAGCGUGGGGAGCAAACAGG
RNAcentral lists this ribosomal RNA (429 nucleotides) under Pseudomonadota bacterium. RNAcentral's name for it is "Proteobacteria bacterium partial 16S ribosomal RNA". It matches the Rfam family "Bacterial small subunit ribosomal RNA", at positions 355 to 776 of the family's 1533-position model. The record is from RNAcentral. Lineage: Bacteria; Pseudomonadati; Pseudomonadota.